GAUGAAGAACGCAGCGAAAUGCGAUACGUAAUGUGAAUUGCAGAAUUCAGUGAAUCAUCGAAUCUUUGAACGCAUAUUGCGCUCUCUGGUACUCCGGAGAGCAUGCUUGUUUGAGUAUCAGUAAACACCUCAACUUCCAUAUCUUUUUUGAAAUGGGAGUUGGACUUGAGUGAUCCCAACGCUUUUCCUCACCGAAAAGUGGCGGGUUACUUGAAAUGCAGGUGCAGCUGGACUUUUCUCUGAGCUAUAAGCAUAUCUAUUUAGUCUGCCUAAAAAACAGAUUAUUACCUUUGCUGCAGCUAACAUAAAGGAGAUUAGUUCUUGUGCUGACUGAUGCAGGAUUCACAAAGACAGGCUUCGGCCGACUUUGUAAACUCGAUCUCAAAUCAAGUAAGACUACCCGCUGAACUUAAGCAUAUCAAUAAGCGGAGGA
Molecule: unclassified non-coding RNA, 433 nt
Filed under: soil metagenome
Description: partial contains 5.8S ribosomal RNA, internal transcribed spacer 2, and large subunit ribosomal RNA
Rfam family: 5.8S ribosomal RNA (bases 1-120)
Source: RNAcentral